UACAUAAUUUAGAUUGACCUUCCUUCCAAAAGAAUUUACUUCAAAUUCAAUGGGUUAAAAGUCACUGAGCCAAUAUCACUAUGAUUAAAAAUUAACUCUAUCAACCUUCAAAUCUUUCUUCACCAAGAUUCUUAAUAUGUAUGAUCAAUGCUACAUAUGAUAACUCACAUAAGCAUCUCAAAAUCUAAAUCUCUACUCAAUGGCAAAGAUUCCUGGUUAGAUCAUAAAUCUAGACUUUAGUUCAAGUUAACACAUCUAAUAGUCUCCAACAAUUAUAAGAAAAAUUCAGUAGCCCAAUCCAAAUAUAUGAGUUCAAAUAAUUAGAAUUCCCUCAUCAAUAUGCCAACUCAAUAGCCUCCAAAUAAAAUCAAAUAUAUCAAUAGGAAAUAGACCUAUUUGUAAUAUCCAAACAUGCCAAUACCACAUACAGAUUCACAUACAUAUUCAACUUCGAAGAAUAUUCCUUUCAAUAUUAUGAAAUCUUCUUAGCUCACUCCAAUACUAUGGAAGAUCUACGUACAAAU
RNAcentral lists this long non-coding RNA (524 nucleotides) under Phoenix dactylifera (date palm). RNAcentral describes it as "long non-coding RNA (PDAC_LNC016782)". Lineage: Eukaryota; Viridiplantae; Streptophyta; Magnoliopsida; Arecales; Arecaceae. The record is from RNAcentral.